RNAcentral lists this ribosomal RNA (460 nucleotides) under uncultured bacterium. Its description in RNAcentral is "partial 16S ribosomal RNA". It matches the Rfam family "Bacterial small subunit ribosomal RNA", at positions 338 to 795 of the family's 1533-position model. The record is from RNAcentral.
CCUACGGGAGGCUGCAGUGAGGAAUAUUGGUCAAUGGGCGCGAGCCUGAACCAGCCAAGUAGCGUGAAGGAUGACUGCCCUACGGGUUGUAAACUUCUUUUAUAAAGGAAUAAAGUGAGGCACGUGUGCCUGUUUGGAGGUACUGUAUGAAUAAGGAUCGGCUAACUCCGUGCCAGCAGCCGCGGUAAGACGGAGGAUCCGAGCGUUAUCCGGAUUUAGUGGGUUUAAAGGGAGCGUAGUUGGGUUGUGAAGUCACUUGUGGAAGUUUGCGGCUCAACCGGAAAAUUGCAAUUGAUACUGGCAGUCUUGAGUACAGUUGUGGUAGGCGGAAUUCGUGGUGUAGCGGUGAAAUGCUUAGAUAUCACGAAGAACUCCGAUUGCGAAGGCAGCUUACUAAACUGCCACUGACAUUGCUUCUCGAAAGUGUGGGUAUCAAACAGGAUUAGAUACCCUAGUAGUC